Long non-coding RNA from Lactuca sativa (garden lettuce), 2489 nucleotides. RefSeq lists it as uncharacterized. Lineage: Eukaryota; Viridiplantae; Streptophyta; Magnoliopsida; Asterales; Asteraceae. The record is from RefSeq and is a predicted model, not a curated record.
CUGAAAGAGAGCCAACACGUAAAAAGUUCAACCCCCGUUUCUCUUGUCCUUGACUGACGACUGACGGGGUUUCACCAUCUUCACUUUGAGAUGUAAAACCAAAAGAGGACAGUCAAAAUUAGGGAUUAGGGCUUACAACGAAAUAGUUAAAUUAUCGUCUGAUUGAAGCAAUGCCAUGGCUUCCCACAUCGAUGGCUUCAACGAAAGCUAUCGGGUUUAUAUUGUUCCGCCUUCGAUAACAAUUCGUCCCUUCUGGGACAUCCGAUAAAAUUGGAACGAUACAGAGAAGAUUAGCAUGGCCCCUGCGCAAGGAUGACACGCACAAAUCGAGAAAUGGUCCAAAUUUUUUUUUUGCCCUAAUUUGCUUGAUCGACUGCAGAUUCGGCGGCGUAUUUCACUAGAUUUUUUGUUCAAUAGCUCCAGAAAGGUAACGUUAUCUGAUGAUCCUCUUAGAUUUACUCCAUUUUAUUAGCUUAUCUCGCUAAACAACUUAUUGAUUUCUUGUUAUUUGCUGCGGUUUAUGAUGCUUAUAUGGAUUCACAUGACAAACGCUAUCAUCCGUUGCUAAUGAAUGUAGAUGGAAUGUGUUAAGCUCCUUGUCUAAAUAGUCUGGUGGAAUCAGUUCAUAACCGGGCAUCAAAUCUAUUAUACUACAACUUUCAUCUUUAGUGGUCGCUGUAGACUGUUGUGUCCUUGAAGCUUCUGUUGGUUUCCUUUCUUCUUAAUUUGAAUUGGUGCGAUGUUCUGUAUGCAUCAUGUGUGUUUAAUACUUUAAUAACUAUUAACAAUCACAAAAUGUCUAAAGUUGCAUACUUCAAUGGUUUUCUUUGUCAUUUCAACAAGUAUAGCGAUUAGUUUGGAAUAAAGCUACAGACUCGAUAUGAUAGAUUAGACACAUGAUUCACUCCUUAAUGAUAAUGAUAGAGGUUGGAAGUUUAUAAGAGUUCUUUUUUGUCUUUAGGCUUCAACACAGCAUUAAAGUAUUGCUAAUUGGUUAAUCUUGAAUGCCUGAUAGCAUCAAUUGAUGUUGAAGGUAUGCAUGAUAUUUUCUGACAAGUCUCUGUGUUAAACUGUUAGCGUGUAAAGGUAGGUUAAUUUUUCAUGAACUAGGGCCUUAAUUAUUAAUUAUUAACAGUUUUUACUUAUAAAUGCCAACAGUUUUACAGUUUUCCACUGAUUAUAGCAAAAUUUUAACCUAAAGAAACGGUAACUAAUCACCAUUUGACAUUUUUUUUGCUUAUGUGACAUCCAACCAAGAUGUGGCAAUGCAUAUACCAAAAUGGAAUCCAAGAAUUACCAAGUUUUAUUUUUUGCAAUAAUCGGUAGAAAUUGUGAUCUAGAAAAGGCAAACACAAAGAAUCUUGAAGGAUAAAGCAGUAGAAAAGAGGCAUCCCAACAAACAACUAUAAGGAUCGAUAUCUUGUAGUCAGGGGACCCAAAAAUUCUUUUUGUCGGGGGAAAUUUUUUCAGCCGAUAGACAUUUUUUUAAACCAAUUUUUGACCAAAUAAUUUAUUUAAUGUAAAUUUAAACCAUUCUUGUUUAUUAAAUCUGAUAAUUUUAUAUAUUUAGCCUAUUUAAACAGAAGGGCUUGACGAAAAAAAAAACAUCUCCCACAUUGUCGGUGUGUAUGAGGGUUUGUAGAUGUUUUUAGUAUUUAAAUGAAAAUGUGCAAAUCAAUGCAUGUAGAUUCACUCUUCCCACAUCGACGGAUAGUGAAAUCCUGUAUGUUUUAAUGUAUAUAAGAGGGUUUGUCUAGUCUGAACUUUAUGAUUAAAGGCUUUGUGUCUGACUUUAAUAAAUUCUGAGGGACAAUUUGCAAAGUUAUUAUUAAAAUUUAUACUAAUGCAAUUAAUUUAGCUGGGCAGCUUCACACUGCCCUGUUUGUAGUCAAAGCAUGGUUUAGCAUAUAUGAAGUACAAGUUAGUAUCGUAACAUAAACGAGUGGCAUGGUCUGGAUGGUCUAUUUAUUAGGGAAAGUGACAUUAACAAGAUGUGAAAAAUGAAUGGUUCAUUUUCACUAUACAAGAUUGAUGGGAUGGAUAUUUCGGCAUUUAUGUAUGUAUAUAAAAUAGGAUAAUAUUUGAUAAAGAUAAUAUGGUCUAUUUACAAUACGAAUAAUGAACUGUCUGAACGUCUGUUCAUUGUUUUCUUUCUCUAUUCGACUCGAUCUAAAAUAAUCUUUGUUCUUGCGACACUCGUCCUUUUCUCGUUAUUGUUCAUCGACAAAUUUCCACCAACAAAUUAAGCGAACAACAUACCUCUGACCUGGUUAUUGACAUGUGCUUGUACCCACCAUGGCACAGUCCAUCGCCGCCCACCACCAACACCAACAAACACUCAUCUACGACAACUAACCACCCACCCUUCACACCCAAAGUUAACUCUUAGUUGUAAUUUAUGCUUUUCUUUGUUGUUAACGGAUUACAUGUUCAUCCACAAACUUGGCUGAUAUUGGUAAUAUGAUGAUGCUUUGUUUUGUUUGUGCCUC